Molecule: long non-coding RNA, 4577 nt
Organism: Equus caballus (horse)
Lineage: Eukaryota; Metazoa; Chordata; Mammalia; Perissodactyla; Equidae
Source: Ensembl
GUAAGAUACCACUUCACACCCCCUAGGAUGGUUCUAAUAAAAACAAUGGGCAAGUGCUAACAAAGACAUGGAGGAAAUGGAAUCCUCAUAUAUUGCUUGUGGGAAUGUAAAAUGGUGCAGCUGCAUGAAAAACAUUUUGGCAGUUCCUCAAAAAGCUAAGCCUAGAAUUAGCACAUGACAAAGUAAUUCCACUCCUAGGCAUAUACCCCAGAAAGCUGAAAAUAAUUGUCCAUAUAAAAACUUGUACAGGGGCCGGCCCCGUGGCCGAGUGGUUAAGUUCACCCUCUCCGCUGAGGUGGCCCCAGGUUUCGCUGGUUCGGAUCCUGGGCGUGGACAUGGCACCACUCAUCAGGCCACAUUGAGGUGGUGUCCCACGUGCCACACUAGAAGGGCCCACAACUAAAAUAUACAACUAUGUACUGGGGGGAUUUGGGGAGAAAAAGCAGAAAGGAAAAAAAAGAUUGGCAACAGUUGUUAGCUCAGGUGCCAAUCUUAAAAAAAAAAAACAAAAAAACUUGUACAGAAAGGCUCAUAGCAGGUGCUAGGGACUGAAUAGUGUUCCUUCUGAAUUCAUAUGCUGAAGCCCUGCCCUCCAGCAUGAGGGUAUUUGGAGGUGGAGCCUACAGGAGAUAAUUAGAUUUGGAUGAGCUCAUAAUGGUGGGGCCUCCCUGAUGGGAUUAGUGCCCUCAUAAGAAGAAACACCAGAGAGCUUACUCUCUUUCUGUCUACCACGUAAGGACACAGUAAGCCAGGAAGGCAGUUCUCACCAGGACCCCAUUAUCCUGCCACUUUGAUCUCAGACUUCCAGCCUCCAGAAUUGUGAGAAAUGAAUUUCUGUUGUUUCAACCACCUAGUCUAUAGUAUUUUGUUAUGGCAGCCUGAAAUGACUAAGAUAGAUUUUAGUAGAAAGUGGGCUGCUGCUGUAACAAAUACCUAAACAUGUGGAAGCAAUUUUGGAACUGAGUAAUGAGUAGAGGCCAGAAGAAUUUUGAGGUGCAUGCUAGAAAUAUGGAUGUUACAAUUUUGACACUAAUUCCAAUGUGUGGGUUUUUUCCCCACACCAAGCAAUUCUCUGGCGCUAGCUGGGUGUCCUACAAUUCAGCUCAAUUCUGACACUGCCUACCUGAAGAUAGCAUCAUAUUCCACAGGUAAAGGGCUCAGUCCCAUGAGACCGCCCACGCUUCAGAUGCCAAUCGCAAGUCCAGGUUGUUAACUGUGCUUCUGACUGACUGGCUGUAAAUGAGAGGUUCCUACAACCCCCGCCUUGGGUUUGAUUAGUUUAUGAGAGCAGCUCAUGGAACUCAGGAAACAGGUUUACACACUAGAUUACCAGUUUAUUACAAAGGAUGUUAAAGGAUAACAAAUCAACAGCCAGAUGAAGAGCUACAUAGGGUGAGGUCCUGAACAAAGGAACUCUAUCUUCAUGGAGUUGGGGCCUGGCACAGUGGCACAUGGAUGCAUUCUGGUUCAUUAAUUUGGAAGCUCUUCAAACUCUAUCCUUUUGUGUUCUUAUGGAGGCAUCAUUACGUAGGCACAAUUGAGUAAAUCAUUGGCCAUUGGCAAUUGAACUCAAUCUCCAGCCCCCCUUCCCUCCUUAGAUGUCCAGGGUUGGGACUGGAAGUUCUAAUCAUCUAAUCACAUGGUUGGUUCCUCUGUCAACUAAUCUCCAUCCUUGGAUUACUUAGGGGCUUUCCAAAAGUCACCUCAUUAACGUAAGAAAGACACCUGUAUAGCUCUCAUCACUCAGGAAAUUCCAAGAGUUUUAGGAAUUCUGUGCUAGGAACAGGACAGUGAGCAAAUAUCUAUUUCUUAUUAUAAAUCACAAUAUCACAGAUGUUAAUGGCAAUUCUGGUGAGGUCAUGGAAAUGAGAAACAUGUCACUGAAAACUGGAGCGAAGGCAAUCCUUGUUAUAAAGUGGCAAAGAACUUGGCUGAACUAUGUUCUAGUGUUUUGUGGAAGGUAGAAUUUGUGAGUGAUAUAAUUGGCUAUCUAGCUGAGGAGAUUCUAAGCAAAGUAUUGAAGGAGCAGCCUCAUUCCACCUGACUACUUACAAUAAAAUACGAAAGGAGAGAGAUGAAUUGAAGAAGGAAUUGUUAACCAAAAAGGAAGGAGAACUUGAAGAUUUGGAAAACUCUCAGCCUAUACAUAUUGCAAAAAGUAAGAAAACUUGUUCUGAAGAGAAUGCUAAGCAUGUGGCAGAAGAGAUCACGGGUGCAACUCAUGGACUUAAUCAGCUAUCUCAGCAGAAGCCAAAAGAAAUAGAGAUGGUAUUAUACUAGCAAAGACACUUCCAGUUUGAACUAAAGGGGACAGAGAAAGAAGGACGGAAUGUAAGAAGGCUGUCAGAUUCUUGGAUUCUCCAGGACUGGACUAUAGAGAUAUUCAUCUACAAAUGUGCACUAUUCUUCAUAAAAACAGAAGAAUGACCCCCGAGGCAAUCAGAGAUCAUAAGAGCUGCCUUCUUGGUUUCAAAGAGUGAGGUCACUGCCUCAAUUUCAACAGGCCAAAGGGCCUCCACCCUAGAGCUUUGGGGGUGGGGCCACCCAGAGCCUUGGAGGCAGGACCCCAGCCUGGCAGAGCCUUGGGGGCGCAAUCUCUGCCUAGCAGAGCUGAGGGGGCAGGAUUGCCACCUGAGUGAGUCGUAAAGGUAGAACUGCCAACCCAGUGGUUCUGGAUAGUGAGAUAUCAAGCCAAAGUAGGAUUAUUUUCAAGCCUUGAGACCUAAUGGAAUUUGCCUCACUAGGUUUUGGACUUGCCUGGGACCUGUCAUGCUGUCUUUCUUUCCUAGUUCUCCCUUUUGGAAUGGGGAUGUCCAUUCUAUGCCUGUCCCUCAAUUGGAUUGCACAUAAUUUAUCUGGUUUCACAGGUUCACAGCUGGAGAGGACCUUUCCCUCAGGAUGAAUAAUACCUUGAAUUGCACCCAUAUCUGAUGAUAUUUAGAUGAGACUACGGACUUCAGACUUUAGAGUUAAUGCUGGAAUGACUUAAGAUUUUGGGGCCUGUUGAAGUGAAAUUAAUGUAUUUUGCAUGUGAGAAGAACAUGAAUUUUGGGAGGCACAGAAUGCUAUGGACUGAAUUAUGUCCCUCUUAACGUUCAUAUGUUGAAGCCCUAACUCACAAUGCGAUAGUAUUUGGAGAUGGGACCUUUGGGAGGUGAUUAGGUUUAGAUGAGGUCAUGAGAAUGGAGCCCUCCUGAUGGGAUUAGUGCCUUUAUAGGAAAAGACACCAGAGCACUCGCCCUCUCUCUACCACGUGAGGAUACAACAAGAAGGCAACCAUGUGCGAGCCAAGAAAAGAGCCCUCACAAGAAACUGACCAUGUUGGCACCCUGAUCUCAGACUUUUAGCUUCCACCCAGUCUAUAGUAUUUAGUUACAGCAGCGUGAGAUGACUAAGACAGUAGGAUUGUUCAUGAAUCAAAGAGCGGAAACAACCCAAAAGUCCAUCAGUUGGAAGAAUUUUUUCCCAGGGGGAAUUUCUCCAUGGUAGUUUGCAUACAGCUGCAACUGAAACAGCGGUCUGGUGGUGGAGACUGAAGGACAGACAGUGGGUAGGUAGUUCUACGUAAAAUCACAUCUAUCACACUAAGAAGAAAACCAGGUUCCUUGUUAGUGGCUGAUGACAAUGGGGAUUCAGGGGUUUCUGAACUCAGAAAACGUUGGCUAACAUGCUUUUAUAGGUCUGCAUUGAGACAUGAAUAUUCUAAGCUGAGGGAUGCUAUUGUGGGUCUGGAAGGCACAGGGCAGAUGUUCUGAUGUUGGCUUUAUGGAUACCCAUAAAGAAAUCCUCCAGUGUAUUGAAAACAAACAGUCCUUCGCCUUCUAUCAGAUUCAAAUUUCACCUUUAUUCCUUUUGAUAGGAAUAAAAACAUAUACGUACAAUGGCAAACACAAAACAAAUUCCAGUGGAAAUACUCCAUAUUUCAGGCUGAAGGACAUGAACAGGGGCCACUGUGGGUCACCCUCAUGACCCACUCAGAACAGAGGCUAUUCAUUUAUUCCUUCAGUUCAUUAAUUCACUCAUUUAUUCAGCCAAUAUUCAUCAUGAAGUUUUUGCAUGCAAAGUGUUGAAGAGAGAGAACAUGGUUCUGACCUUGUGUCUCAUAGUCCAUUUGGUGACAGAAAUGUGACAAAUAAUUACAAUGCAAUAUGACCAUUGAGGUGAGCAUUCACAAAGCUGUGAGAACACAGACAAAGGAGUAACUAACACAGUCUAGGAAUUAGGGAAGAUUUUACACACACACACACAUACACUCAUAUGCACACUGACACAUGCACACACACACAGAUACUUAUCUGAUAGAGAUGCCAAGGGCUGGUUUGGUGAGAAAUCGCUGACCUUCAACCUGCCCUUAAACAAUCCAUGGUGCAUAGGUCAUCCGUGGAUUUCUCUAAAUCCAUCUAAGGCUGAAAAUAACAGAAAAAUUAGUAAAGGAGGGAAGUUGCUUAGAGUGUCUCCAGUUCUGGGAUGAAGAGGAUGGGCAAUUUCCUUUGUCCUACUAAAGCAUAAACCAUCUUCUGGGUAUGAAGAAAAUAGCAAUUUGGUGUAACUUAUUUAUUCAUCUUAUUUGUUCAUGU